ACACUUUGGCAAUGUGUAUACUGAAAUUGAUGUGAUACAGAGAAAAUUAGCAUGGCCCCUGUGCAUAGGUGACACACACACAUUUGUGAAGCAUUACAGAUUUUU
Molecule: small nuclear RNA, 105 nt
Organism: Aotus nancymaae (Ma's night monkey)
Lineage: Eukaryota; Metazoa; Chordata; Mammalia; Primates; Aotidae
Source: Ensembl